GACGAACGCUGGCGGCGUGCUUAACACAUGCAAGUCGAACGAAAAGGCCCUGCUUUUGUGCGGUGCUCGAGUGGCGAACGGGUGAGUAACACGUGAGUAACCUGCCCUUGACUUUGGGAUAACUUCAGGAAACUGGGGCUAAUACCCGAUAGGAUCUCCUGAUGCUUGGUGGGGGUUGGAAAGUUUCGGCGGUUGGGGAUGGACUCGCGGCUUAUCAGCAUGUUGGUGGGGUAGUUGCUUACCAAGGUUUUGACGGGUACCCGGCUUGAGAGCGUGACCAGGCACCAUAGGACUAAGAUAGGGCCCAGAGUCCGACGGGAGGCAACAGUGGAGAAUAUGACACAAAGGGCGGGAGCGUGAUGCGGCAACGUUGCGUUCGUGAUACCGGCCUUGUAGUUGUAAACCGAUUUCGCCUGUGAUAUAGCGGGAAUGACGGUAAUUAGUAAAGAAGCCGCGGCUAACUACGUG
Molecule: ribosomal RNA, 468 nt
Filed under: uncultured bacterium
Lineage: Bacteria
Description: partial 16S ribosomal RNA
Rfam family: Bacterial small subunit ribosomal RNA
Source: RNAcentral